RNAcentral lists this ribosomal RNA (949 nucleotides) under uncultured crenarchaeote. RNAcentral describes it as "bacterial SSU rRNA". It matches the Rfam family "Archaeal small subunit ribosomal RNA", at positions 1 to 921 of the family's 1478-position model. Lineage: Archaea; Thermoproteati; Thermoproteota. The record is from RNAcentral.
UUCGCCCUUUUCSGGUUGAUCUUSCGGGCCCCACUGCUAUGGGAAUAGGACUAAGACAUSCUAGUCGAGUGAUUCAGGCAAACCGAGUCACGGCACACAGCUAAGUAACACGUGGCUAAUCUCCCCUUAGGACGAGAACAACCCCGGGAAAACUGGGGCUAACUCUCGAUAGGCGAAGAACUCUGAAAUGAGUCUUUACCUAAAUAGUGCAACGUUACCCUCGUUGCAUCGCCUAAGGAUGAGCCCGCGACCGAUCAGGUUGUUGGCGAGGUAAUGGCUCACCAAGCCUUUUACCGGUGCGGCCCGUGAGAGCGGGAGCCCGGAGAUGGGCACUGAGACAAGGGCCCCAGGCCCUACGGGGCGCAGCAGUCGCGAAAACUUUGCAAUAAGCGAAAGCUUGACAGGGCUAUCCCGAGUGCCAUCCGCUGAGGAAGGCUUUUACCCAGUCUAGAACGCUGGGGGAAUAAGGAGAGGGCAAGUCUGGUGUCAGCCGCCGCGGUAAUACCAGCUCUCCGAGUGGUGUGGAUGUUUAUUGGGCCUAAAGCAUCCGUAGCUGGCUAGGUCAGUCCCUUGUUAAAUCCACCGAAUUAAUCGUUGGAUUGCGGGGGAUACUGCUUGGCUAGGGGACGAGAGAGGCAGACGGUAUUUUCGGGGUAGGGGUGAAAUCCUAUAAUCCCGGGAAGACCACCAGUGGCGAAGGCUGUCUGCUAGAACGCGCCCGACGGUGAGGGAUGAAAGCUGGGGGAGCGAACCGGAUUAGAUACCCGGGUAGUCCCAGCUGUAAACGAUGCAGACUAGGUGUUUGGACGGCCACGUGCCGUUCUAGUGCCGCAGGGAAGCUGUUAAGCCUGCCGCCUGGGGAGUACGAUCGCAAGAUUGAAACUUAAAGGAAUUGGCGGGGGAGCACCACAAGGGGUGAAGCCUGCGGUUCAAUUGGAGUCAACGCCGG